UUACUUUUUUCGUUUUCACUCGCAAUGAAUUAACUUGCGUUUUUUUUGUUUGAUUCCAUUGAAAUUGAUAUUGGUGAUGUAAUGCUACCCAGAUAUCAUCAUAUCUUGUCCGAGAUAGAAUCGAUGUCAGGUAUAAUCUGUAAAUUCUACAUUUGCGUGAUUCACGAGCAGUGUUAGAUUUCUUACAGCGGAUGUCGACAUCCGUUUGGUCCUGAAACGGAUAUCGAUCUUCGUCGACCGAUGUGCGACAUCCAUUUAGGCGUCUUCUUCCUCCUACGCACAUAUAAACAAAAACAACAGAGAAAAAAUGAAGCAACAGAAAAAUGAAAUCAACAACCUUAUAUCAUGCGCAACGAAAUAAAUUAACCUCUCGUAGACGGCAAAAACGAAACGAAGCAACAACCACCGCGCCGCACACACUCGCCGCACCGCUACACACUCACAUUGCACCGCCACACACACUCGCAGGCAGAAACGAAACUACGAAGCAACAACCACCAACCACCGCGUCGCACCGCCGCACACACCCGCUGCACACACCUAAAACUAAAAGCACAGGAAGAGAUGACUGCGAGAGUUGGAAAGUUUUGUUUUAGAAAAUAAACGUGGAGCGUGGGUGUAAGAAGGGGAGGUGGGGCUGUCUUCGAAAGGCUGUGAAAGCUGAACUAGAAAGUUAAAAUUUGGGUUACUUAGUUAACAGGGUUAAAAAAGUAAAAAAAAUAGAAAAAGGUUAUUUUUGUAAUUAAGGAAAAGUUAAAAAAAAUGGGGAGGUGGAGGAUGAAAGUGGGGAGGUGGAGGGAUCAACGCCCUAAUUUUAUUAGUUAAUAUCUGGCCACGAAUUCUACACGUCCCAAACUAGGCCCAAAUAAACAUUCUUAUUUCUGUUCAACUCUGGCUUACGGCCCAAAAAGGUUCCCACUGUAUCCACCUAGAUUCACUCCCGGCCCAAAAAGAAUUUUGCCGCUGCGGAAUGGUCAUUCAGCGUAACACCACUUGACCAAGCCAAUUAUAAGGUCAGUCACCGCAAUCUCCAUGGGUGCACCACUCACGCAACUCCGACAACCUUCACGGAACAUAGAUCGCGUACGCAUCACAGAAAAAUCGCAAGUAUCAGAACCCAAAGAACGCCUAACCCCAAAAAAAGAGAACAAAAGGAACCCUAAAAUCAAAACCCCCAAAUUCCCAAUUUUGAACAAGCUCAGGGACCCUAAAAUCAAAACAUCACGUGCCACCACAAGAAUGCCCACGAAUCGAGAUCCCCGCGUUGCAAUACGCCUGAGAACUAAGACUCUUGUCGCCGAGGAACGCGGAGAAUGAAAUCCUUGUGUCGUCGCAGAGAUGCCGCUACUAUGGCGUCCACUGGCUGCGAAGAUGGAUGUCACGUCGGAGCAACUGGUUUCGCAUCCCUCUUCCUGCAACCAGAACGACACCAGAAACAAGAGAAAGAACAAGGAAAGAGGAACGCCUCCCCUCUCUACCAACACGAACCUAGAACCAGGAAAGGAGAAGAUGAAGGUGAGUGCCCCCUAGCCAGCUUCUCGCGCGAGAUCAAAGAACCCUCAAACAGAGUUUCGUCGUGAAAGAAGAAGAAGAACAAGAAGCUAAGAGGGGAAAAGUUUCCGAUUAAGUGAAAGAAAAGAAUGAAAAAGUUUCUGAUUUAAGGAUCAACUUUUGGAAAACUAAUUAGGGUAGAUAUCUAAUUGAAUUAAACAAUUAGAAUUAGAAUUAAGAAGGUAAUUAGAAAUUACCAUUCACAGCUAUUAACAUAUUAACAUUAACAGAUUCUUAAUCUCUAAUUAUUCCUAAUUAACAUUUUUCAGGAUUCCAAAUCAU
This 1833-nucleotide long non-coding RNA is filed under the name Vigna radiata. RNAcentral's name for it is "long non-coding RNA (VRAD_LNC007847)". The record is from RNAcentral. Lineage: Eukaryota; Viridiplantae; Streptophyta; Magnoliopsida; Fabales; Fabaceae.